This 491-nucleotide ribosomal RNA is filed under the name uncultured bacterium. Its description in RNAcentral is "partial 16S ribosomal RNA". It matches the Rfam family "Bacterial small subunit ribosomal RNA", at positions 29 to 506 of the family's 1533-position model. The record is from RNAcentral.
AGUGAACGCUGGCGGUAGGCCUAACACAUGCAAGUCGAACGGCAGCACAGUAAGAGCUUGCUCUUACGGGUGGCGAGUGGCGGACGGGUGAGGAAUACAUCGGAAUCUACUUUUUCGUGGGGGAUAACGUAGGGAAACUUACGCUAAUACCGCAUACGACCUACGGGUGAAAGCAGGGGAUCUUCGGACCUUGCGCGAUUGAAUGAGCCGAUGUCGGAUUAGCUAGUUGGCGGGGUAAAGGCCCACCAAAGCGACGAUCCGUAGCUGGUCUGAGAGGAUGAUCAGCCACACUGGAAGUGAGACACGGUCCAGACUCCGACGGGAGGCAGCAGUGGGGAAUAUAGGACAAAGGGCGCAAGCCUGAUCCAGCCAUACCGGGUGGGUGAAGAAGGCCUUCGGGUGGUAAAGCCCUUUUGUUGGGAAAGAAAAGCAGCAGGUUAAUACCCCGCUGUUCUGACGGUACCCAAAGAAUAAGCACCGGCUAACUUCGU